Molecule: non-coding RNA, 24 nt
Filed under: Arabidopsis thaliana (thale cress)
Lineage: Eukaryota; Viridiplantae; Streptophyta; Magnoliopsida; Brassicales; Brassicaceae
Source: RNAcentral
ACAUCUUUUCGGCAUGCUUCUUGC